Drosophila erecta is the source of this 350-nucleotide long non-coding RNA. RefSeq lists it as uncharacterized. NCBI's taxonomy places the organism in Eukaryota, Metazoa, Arthropoda, Insecta, Diptera, Drosophilidae. The record is from RefSeq and is a predicted model, not a curated record. The transcript is spliced from 4 exons.
UAAACUAUGCACUUAAGUGUUUUGUAAGAGCAUCGGUUUUGCAUCCUAAAUAUUAAAAUAGUAAUUUCACCAAAAUAUUUGGUAUACAGAAAAUCGAGUACAUAUAAAAUGUAUAUCAGCACUUUUAUUAUGUUUGGAAUAUUUGGUGCUACAAGCCCUAUUCUGAUACCUCCAUUCUGUGACCUUUUAGUAGUGGAUGCACCUUUGAAAUGCUAUAAUGCCACGGAUUGUGAAUCUUAUAGGGAGUGCCUACGUCAUAAAUAAAAAUAUUAGGAAGUACCAAUUUAUAAAUCGAUAUAAAGAUCUAUGAUAUUUCGAAGAGCUCCCAAAUAAAAUAUGUUUGUCAGAUA